Nematostella vectensis (starlet sea anemone) is the source of this 3619-nucleotide RNA transcript. It is a transcript of the gene named serine/arginine-rich splicing factor 2, with no coding region annotated. NCBI's taxonomy places the organism in Eukaryota, Metazoa, Cnidaria, Anthozoa, Actiniaria, Edwardsiidae. The record is from RefSeq and is a predicted model, not a curated record. The transcript has 3 exons.
ACCUCAUACCCCCCUCUUAUGCCAUGCGGUUUGGAAGGACGCCAUUUUGAGCGCUGUUCGAUUCUUAGCUUUUCUUUCUUUGAAAACCCUUUUCAGCCGAAUUUCGCGAUGUCUUUCGACAGCCAACGCGGUCCGCCUGAGAUAGAUGGCAUGACAAGCCUUAAAGUCGAUAAUUUAACCUACAGAACAACCGUUGAAGAUUUAAAGCAGGUUUUUAAGAAGUACGGCGAUUUGGGCGACAUCUACAUUCCCCGCGAUCGGAACACGCACGAGUCGAGAGGUUUUGCCUUCGUCAGGUUCUACGAAAAGCGGGAUGCCGAAGACGCUAUGGAUUGCAUGGACCGCCACUUGCUUGAUGGCAGAGAAGUUCGUGUUCAGAUGGCGAGAUAUGGUCGUCCCACGGAUUCCUAUCGGCCGAGGCGUUCUCGUGGUUAUGGUGGAAGUUCUCGUUACAGAUCGCGCUCAAGGUCUCGUUCUCCCCGCCGAAGAAGAAGCAGGGGAGGUUAUUCCCGAUCACGCUCACGCUCUCCACGUCGCCGCAGAAGCCCUUCACAUUCCCCAAAACGUCGAUCAAGAUCCCGUAGCCCUGUGCGACGUUCACGGUCUCGUUCAAGGAGUGGAUCACGUCGCAAAUCUCGUUCAAGAUCUCGCUCACCGCACCGUUCUAGAUCCCGAUCCGGUUCACCGACACCUGCUGCCUACAGGGAUGAGAGUGACCGCCCGGACUGUAACAAUGCCGAAGACUAACUGUUUGAUAUUAUGCGAUGUGCAUGUGUGAAUUGAGUGCUUUCUUGCAGGUCCCACUAGCGGUGGAUCCCUGAGUUGGGAGACCAUUAGUGCUGAUUUCUUGUAGCAUUGGGGCUGGGAACAACUCACUCCUGUGUUUAAUAGGCGCAGUAUAGUUACAUUGUGGGCUGUUUGUGCAGAUGGCUCUGUUGCAGUCCUGGAGCUGUAUUCCUGAAAUGCUGUUGUCUGCUGCUGUCAAUCAAAUUUGGCUGCUACUGAGAAAAUUUUGCAGAUUCCUGAUCAAGCUUUUUGGGUUUCUUGCUUACUCUGUCCUGAAAUACUAUAUCUGUGACUGGGUUCCACCUAUCAUGGCCAGUUAACUCAGUCACAGUGUGUUUUGAAAGGAUGGAGUAAGUUGUAAAAUUAUUUUUUUUAAUCUAAGAAAAAUAAUUUCAGAUGUUGGAAAAGACUAGAUUGGCCUCUGAAAAAAAACAUUUUUUAUUUAUAGCCAAGUGUGUUAAUGUGCCAAUCCAAAUUCCUUGUCUUGUUUGGGAAAAGCCCCUGGACAAUGACCAUCUAAACCAAUUAAUAACUGUCAUUUUUUCUGUGUCACAUAACCAUUUGACUGCACACAGCAAGGGGAUUGAUUGGUCAUGGUGGUAUGAUCGACUAUGUGCUAUUUCCUUACGGGAAAGGGAUUUGAAUUCUUGGUGGUCGCGCAACAACAAAUUUUGCUAUUUGUUAUUACCAGUGGAUGCUAGAUAGUUCUGCAGAUACUCUGUCCUCUUGAUUUGCAUUUGAGUCAUAGGGGGUUUGCACAUGUCUUAGCUUUCAGCAUUUUCAAAGAUAGGGCUCAAAUGAAUAAUAUUUCAUAAACUUUUUCCAUUAAUUUUCAUUCAUCAAACUGCUUUUUGUCUUAUGUCUCCCAAACUAAUGGAAUUGCUUUUUGCCGUUUGUGCUUGGUGAGUGCCCAUAGGUUGCAUGAUAUGAAACAAGCCAAUGAAAAGCUUCAGGGAUUUUAAUAAUGGAUUCAAGAAAGCAAUUUUGCUACUGGUAAUGGUUGACGAGAGCUUGACGAUAUUUAGUGGUGUCAGUUGCAACUAUAUUCCCACAACAAACCAUUACUGAAAUUUAUGUUCCUUAGAGUUUGGACAAAAUUCCACUAAAUCAAAUCACCACUGAAAACAACCUAUGAUGCAAAAUCAUCUACCAUUUUGAUAUUUCCAAUCAGUAUUUUGCAUUUUCUGCUUUUUGUUUGUCUCGAAGUAAUCUGAAUGAAUAGGUAAAAGGCCUGAGUUAUCCCUGCCACCAUGCUGUCCAUAUGGUAUGACAUAAACCCGUAAACUGGGUUCUUUGAAGUUGCAUGUCUACACUAAGAUACAGACCAAUGUCAUGGAAGGUAAACCUUAAAAAAUCUCAGAAGCUUUGGGAAUCCAAGUUUCGCCUAGUUUUUUUCAAACCUAGUAUGUAUGUCUUCAAGGGUUGUGUUUUCUUGCUGGCCGGGUUUGCUGACAAGCAUGGAGAAGGGGCUUGGAAUUUGAGAAAAGCCUACUUUUUUUUUGCCACGAUGGAAGAAAAAAACUAUUUAACGUGGCUAGUACUCUGAUUUUGCAAAGUGCAGCAAACUGCACAUGUGGAACUGGUCUAUUCAGUUGUUGGUGAAAAUCUGGCAUUUCAAAAGUGGUGUUGAAUUUUUAGGCUAGGCCAGAUGGUUCAGUAAUCUGGUUUAGCUGUCGAGGCUGUAGGAGGAGCAAAGUGUGACAGUAUUUUCUGGAAAUUGGUGGUAUUUGGAAAGAGAAGACUGCUAAAGCUUUUGCUAGUGUGAAAAUCACUAGCAUUGUUUGACCUAGCAAUGUUGUGGUGUUUAGGUAUCACAUGAAUGUGUCCAAAGAGGGGGGGUCCAAGGAAUCUGGACCCACCCUGUGCAUGACGAGAUAAAAACAUAAUGUCAUAAACUGUUGAAUGGAUAAUGACUCUAGUUGUCUCCUUUGUAGUAAUCGAGUUUCAGUGUAAAUUUGGAUAGAAAAGUCUGACUCUAGACUGCUUAGCGACUCUAAAGGUAAGGGGGUUCUCCCUCCCUUUCAAGCCGCUAAGCAGGCUUAGGGAUCUAUUGAUCAGUGCAUGGCUUAAAGCCUCAUUGUCACCAGUUUACUUCUGGAGGUCCGACGGAAACCUCAACCGUUAAAAGACAGAAGAAUCUAUUAGAAUCAGAGAUAUUUAACAGGCCAUCCGCUCUAAAUUAUCGAUCACAUCCUCGAAGAAACUUCCAAUAGACACAUUGCUUUCAGUAUUUUGAAAUAUUUUUCGCGUUUCCCGUUAAAAAUCAUCGGAGAUUGUUACGUAAUCGACCGGAAGUAAACUGGUGACAAUGCGGCUUUAAAUCUAGAAUCCUCAAGUCCUAACCCUUCCGAGGUUAUUGAAUUCUGCACUCCACCCUGCAUUCCUCUCUAUCAGUACUCUGUUUGGUCUUCAGUAAUUUUGUAAAACUUGCAAAGAAUGUCUUAACAAAAUAAAAUCCUCCUGUUUACUUCAUACCAGUACGUUUUCUAAAAAAAAUAUAUAUAUAUAUAUAUAUAUUCGGAGGACCUAGUUUUUACAUUGUGCAAUAUUUGCUCUGCCAUGGUGGUUCUGUCUGGACACCAUGUCUGGAGGUGCUGUGACGUAGUUCCCCUUCGUCUUGAGAUGAAAAGUAGUGACGCCAGCACUAUUGGUGUGUUUACUGCACUGGCUGAUUCAGGAUUAUAGGUAAGUAUUAACGGGGCUUAAGAUGUCUCAAGGGUUUUCGCAAUAGAAGCGAGCCUUUUUGACUGUUGGAUAAUUCCUGGGUUUCGCCAUGUAUGUAGCUAAAUGGAAAUGUAUUUUUAUACAGAACAAUUAAAAAUAAUUUUGGUUA